This 72-nucleotide transfer RNA is filed under the name Chloroflexota bacterium. RNAcentral's name for it is "Chloroflexi bacterium (wastewater metagenome) tRNA-Arg". It matches the Rfam family "tRNA". Rfam says of the family: Transfer RNA (tRNA) molecules are approximately 80 nucleotides in length. Their secondary structure includes four short double-helical elements and three loops (D, anti-codon, and T loops). Further hydrogen bonds mediate the characteristic L-shaped molecular structure. tRNAs have two regions of fundamental functional importance: the anti-codon, which is responsible for specific mRNA codon recognition, and the 3' end, to which the tRNAs corresponding amino acid is attached (by aminoacyl-tRNA synthetases). tRNAs cope with the degeneracy of the genetic code in two manners: having more than one tRNA (with a specific anti-codon) for a particular amino acid; and 'wobble' base-pairing, i.e. permitting non-standard base-pairing at the 3rd anti-codon position. Lineage: Bacteria; Bacillati; Chloroflexota. RNAcentral also lists the same sequence under 2 other names. The record is from RNAcentral.
GCCCUCGUAGCUCAAUGGAUAGAGCAACCGCCUCCUAAGCGGUAGAUUCAGGUUCGAGUCCUGGCGGGGGCA